Populus nigra (black poplar) is the source of this 837-nucleotide long non-coding RNA. RefSeq lists it as uncharacterized. NCBI's taxonomy places the organism in Eukaryota, Viridiplantae, Streptophyta, Magnoliopsida, Malpighiales, Salicaceae. The record is from RefSeq and is a predicted model, not a curated record. The transcript is spliced from 2 exons.
AAUAUGUCCCCGUCCAUGUGAGGAAAAGGAUAAAAAAACAAACAAAAGGUAAAACCCUCUCGCGCGACGCCAGCAGCUGGUUGGGGUUUACCUGAUUGCCUCGCCGUCUCUCCAUCUCUCUCACUCAACACAAGCCCAUUUCUCUGCAAUUUGGUGUCUGUCCAUCAAUCAUAUACAAGCCCAGAGAAAGUACCAGUAGAAAACAAUAUAAAGAAAUGGCUAGUCAGCAAAAAGGAGAAGAAGAUCAGCCAACUUCCAGCCCCCCUGCUGCUGGUUUUGGGCAGAUGGCAGUAGAACGAUAUCGAAAAAUCAGAGAGCAUGCAGAAACUUAUCCCUAUGUGUGGGCUUCAUACAUCGUUGUAUAUGGCGGUUUAGGCCUAUGGGCCACCUAUAGAUGGAGAAAGCUUCGCAAAACCGAGGACAGAGUGCGAGCCCUUCAAGAGAGGCUACGCAAACUUGUCGAAACUCAAGAGGGUGCCAGCUCCGCCAGGUCUGUUGAAAAGGCUCCAUCAUCCGCUGAUAAAACAACCAAAUAGCCAUCAGCUAUUUCUAUCCAGGCUUUUCCUAUACUUAGUUUUGAAACAUAUUAGCUUGGAAUAUGUUUGCAAGAGUUGAUGAAAAUCUCAAAUGGGCAAAAGUGCAAAUACUAUUUUUGGAUAAACAGAGCGAAGAACUGUGCAUUCCCCAUGAAAUUUCUGUUGUCAAUUUCUUAGAAGCGGUGAAAUCCACCAACCUCUACAAUUUUUCUGUAUGGAGGUGAUUAUUCUGUGUUAAUCCACGGCCUGAACAGAGAGCUGGAUGAAAUGAUACAUAUCUGGUUGAACUGUUUAAUGUCUA